UCAUAUGUACAUGCCUACAAUUUUAAUGCACCAGAUCCCAUAAAAAAUCCAUAGUUAAGCGCGCUUGGGAUAAAUUAGUACUGGGAUGGGUGACCUCUCAGGAAGUCCUAGUGUUUUACGUGCA
Non-coding RNA from Picea glauca (white spruce), 124 nucleotides. The record is from Rfam. Lineage: Eukaryota; Viridiplantae; Streptophyta; Pinopsida; Pinales; Pinaceae.